UGGCUCAGAGGUUAAAGCAUCUGCCUGGAAUGCUGGAGACCUGGGUUCGAUCCCUAG
RNAcentral lists this transfer RNA (57 nucleotides) under Ovis aries (sheep). It matches the Rfam family "tRNA", at positions 8 to 63 of the family's 71-position model. Rfam says of the family: Transfer RNA (tRNA) molecules are approximately 80 nucleotides in length. Their secondary structure includes four short double-helical elements and three loops (D, anti-codon, and T loops). Further hydrogen bonds mediate the characteristic L-shaped molecular structure. tRNAs have two regions of fundamental functional importance: the anti-codon, which is responsible for specific mRNA codon recognition, and the 3' end, to which the tRNAs corresponding amino acid is attached (by aminoacyl-tRNA synthetases). tRNAs cope with the degeneracy of the genetic code in two manners: having more than one tRNA (with a specific anti-codon) for a particular amino acid; and 'wobble' base-pairing, i.e. permitting non-standard base-pairing at the 3rd anti-codon position. The record is from Rfam by way of RNAcentral. Lineage: Eukaryota; Metazoa; Chordata; Mammalia; Artiodactyla; Bovidae.